This 463-nucleotide ribosomal RNA is filed under the name uncultured Alphaproteobacteria bacterium. RNAcentral's name for it is "bacterial SSU rRNA". It matches the Rfam family "Bacterial small subunit ribosomal RNA", at positions 9 to 516 of the family's 1533-position model. Lineage: Bacteria; Pseudomonadati; Pseudomonadota; Alphaproteobacteria. The record is from RNAcentral.
GAGUUUGAUCUUGGCUCAGAACGAACGCUGGCGGCAGGCUUAACACAUGCAAGUCGAACGAUGUCUUCGGACAUAGUGGCAGACGGGUGAGUAACGCGUGGGAAUCUACCCAGUCCUUCGGGAUAACAGUUGGAAACGACUGCUAAUACCGGAUACGCCCUUUUGGGGAAAGAUUUAUCGGGAUUGGAUGAGCCCGCGUAAGAUUAGCUAGAUGGUGGGGUAACGGCCUACCAUGGCGACGAUCUUUAGCUGGUCUGAGAGGAUGAUCAGCCACACUGGGACUGAGAUACGGCCCCGACUCCUACGGGAGGCAGCAGCUAAGAAUCUUGCGCAAUGGGCGAAAGCCUGACGCAGCAAUUCCGCGUGGGGGACGAAGGCCCUCGGGUCGUAAACCCCUUUUACGAGGGAAGAAGUUCUGACGGUACCUCGUGAAUAAGACACGGCUAACUACGUGCCAGCCGCC